Molecule: unclassified non-coding RNA, 317 nt
Filed under: Fraxinus angustifolia
Lineage: Eukaryota; Viridiplantae; Streptophyta; Magnoliopsida; Lamiales; Oleaceae
Description: partial external transcribed spacer
Source: RNAcentral
GCCUGUUCAUUGGAUGAUCGAAUCUCGCGUUUCGUCAUCUCCCCUUCGGUUCCCUGUGUUGCAUACCUUCGAGACGGUAUCCUGUCGGCUAGAAUCGCCCCGUUUCGCCCGACGUCGCGAGCAACAUCGCGACCGAGGGCGAACCGAAAAGCACUCAUCGCGUUCCACCCCGUUCGCGUGACGCGCUGCGGGACACGGCCCGCGAUGACGUGCUCGAAUUCUCGGAUGCGGAACACAAUGCGGGCACGAGGACGUCGAUCCUCCGUUUGCCCCCGAACAAGCGUUCUACGCUCUGUGCGAACGACGUUCUUCCUCGU